ACCACCUUUUCCACUUAGUUGAAUACCUGUUUUUCCCAUUUCUUCUGACUUUUAAUGUUCACAGAAAUCCCUAAAUCUUCUGUUCUUCAGCUUGGUUUUAAAAUCUGCAUGUUCUCUUGAUGGGAUCAGAGGCACGAGCGUGAGUGGGUGGAUGGUGGGAGCAGAGCUCGGCUUUCAUGUAAAGAUGAGCAGCUAAGAUGAAAAGUUAGAGGCGGCUUUAAUGUUUCUAGCGUGAGUUCAUCGUGUGAGAAUUGAAGCUGAAAUAACUCUGAAGUGGCUGAGAAAAGCCGCUCUGAGGAGCAAAUUAAAACUAAAUAAAUGCUGCUGGUCCUCAUUGAAUUUUUUUCUCUCUCUAAGUGGCAGUGCAUUAGUUGAAGUGGUCUGAAGGUCUUUGCAUCCUGUGUCCCCGCCAUUUGAGGCAGGAAUCAACUCAAUUGUCAAAAUUUCACAAAUUUUAUUCAAAUUCAAAUUCAGCUUUAUUCAUAGAGCACUUUUACGGUUACAGAACCCCUCAAAGUGAUUGACAGCAAAUAAAAAACGAGUUUAAAAACAAAAAAAACAAGGAAAAAUGGCCCAUAAAAUCUAAUUAAAACAUGAGGAAAUGUAAAAACAACUUAAAAGCUCAACCAAAAAGAUGAGCUUUACGUGUUGAUGAUUUUGUAUGAGUUCCAUUAGAUUUAUCUAAAUCAAGAUACUUGUCAAAACCUGUGGGAUUAUUCUGAUUUGUCGACUUGCUAAACUUUCAAGCACCAAUACAAAAAUAAGCAUAAAAGAGUCAUAGGACAGCUGUUCAUCUCAGAAUCUCAUUAAAUAUGAAAUGAGACAGAAAAAUACUUUAAUGCUUCGAUGUCAGAAUAUACAAUUAUUUUAGAAUGUAUUGUAACACACAGAAAGACGGCCUCCAUCAGCACUAACGUAUUUAACUCAGUUCUUGUUUCUUUAAAACUCAAUGUGCUCUGAUUUGUCAGCUGAUGACACUUUCAUCACUCUCUGGUCAACAGGAUAAACCAGGUUCAUGCAGAAGUGGAGAAGGAUUGAAUCAAAUAGCAGUUUUUGAGGAGCUAUAUGACGUUUGUAAUUUGUGAUACAUCAACGCAUACUUGACCUUUGGUGCUCUUAAUAUAGAAUCAUUUAAGGGUAAUAUGGCAGCAAAUUGUGAAACGUUGCUGCGCAUUGAUUUUUACUGGAUAGCACAGCCCUUCUCCCUCGUGUCUCAUAUUUUCUUAUUGGCUGUUUGUUUGCUCUAAAAAGGCAGAGAGUCUAUUUCAUGACAAUAAAGUGUAGAUUUUCUGUUACUGAACAACACACUUCACUCAGCGGAGGGACUUCUUAUAAAGAGUACUGUAGCGUUAUCGUGCAGUUCUGUGCUUCGUCUGGGUUCCAUCACAACCUGGUUUAUGGUUCUGCUUUGGGCCUACCUCAGUCCCACGUGGAUUCACACAACAGCCUUUAAGACCUGGUCCCCACCCCUGAUAUAACCACUAUUUCUGUUUAAUAGUCUGUAAAUCUAAAGUGUGAAGUGUUCUCUCUCCUUUUAGAAGAGUCCGAAUAAUGUGACCAAACUGAGCCAGUUUUAAAUUGAACAGUGGUUUCAUAGAUAAAACACCACAAUUUCACUCAAAAAGAUGGCAAUGAAUAAGAACAGAAUUUUGCACAUUUUGGGAGGAAUCUCUGUGCUUCUAGGGGGACUACUCCUACUUGUUGCUGUCCAGUUAUGUUUUAGGAGAGAUGUGGAUUAUGAUGUUGGCUAUGGGAUGUUGGAGGUCUCUACAAAAUGUGUCUCUUCAAAAUGAACCAGGAUUUAAUCUGCGUGAAUGUGUUGGAAGACAUUUUUGAAAUUAACACGUCUUAAGUCAAAUUUCGGGUUAAUUGUUAUUCCACUGUAGUCGUUCUACAGCUUUCAUUAAAGUGAUCAUGCAAAAAAAA
Long non-coding RNA from Oryzias latipes (Japanese medaka), 1926 nucleotides. RefSeq lists it as uncharacterized. Lineage: Eukaryota; Metazoa; Chordata; Actinopteri; Beloniformes; Adrianichthyidae. The record is from RefSeq and is a predicted model, not a curated record.